This 439-nucleotide ribosomal RNA is filed under the name uncultured bacterium. Its description in RNAcentral is "bacterial SSU rRNA". It matches the Rfam family "Bacterial small subunit ribosomal RNA", at positions 339 to 794 of the family's 1533-position model. The record is from RNAcentral.
AUACGGGAGGCAGCAGUAAGGGAUAUUGGUCAAUGGGCGAAAGCCUGAACCAGCAACGCCGCGUGGAGGAUGAAGGCCUUCGGGUUGUAAACUUCUUUGGAGGGGGACGACAACGGACGGUACCCCUCGAACAAGUCACGGCUAACUACGUGCCAGCAGCCGCGGUAAAACGUAGGUGGCGAGCGUUAUCCGGAUUUACUGGGCGUAAAGGGUGUGCAGGCGGAAGCUCAAGUGGUGCAUGAAAGCUCCCGGCUUAACCGGGAAAUGGUGUGCCAGACUGAGGUUCUAGAGGAUGGGAGAGGGACGUGGAAUUCCGGGUGUAGUGGUAAAAUGCGUAGAGAUCCGGAGGAACACCAGAGGCGAAGGCGGCGUCCUGGCCCAUAUCUGACGCUCAUACACGACAGCAUGGGGAGCGAACGGGAUUAGAUACCCCGGUAGU